RNAcentral lists this long non-coding RNA (3875 nucleotides) under Sus scrofa (pig). RNAcentral's name for it is "lncRNA (ENSSSCG00040025400.1)". The record is from RNAcentral. Lineage: Eukaryota; Metazoa; Chordata; Mammalia; Artiodactyla; Suidae.
GGCUGCUCCCGUGGCACAUGGAGGUUCCCAGGCUAGGGGUCGAAUCGGAGCUAUAGUCACCGGCCUACGCCAGAGCCACAGCAACGCGGGAUCCGAGCCACGACUGCGACCUACACCACAGCUCACAGCAACGCCGGACGUUAACCCACUGAGCAAGGCCAGGGAUCGAACCCACAACCUCGUGGUUCCUUGUCAGAUUCGUUAACCACUGAGCCAUGAUGGGAACUCCAAUAAAAAUUUUUUAAAAAUAAAAAAAAUUAAAAAGAAAUUGGCUUUAAUGAAAUUAACCCUCCUCUCCAAGAGUGAAAGAAAAAGGAAAGAAAGGAGAGAGACAGAGACAGAGAGGGAGAUAGAAACAGACAGAGAGACAGAGAGAGAGAGAGAAGCUAUGAAAGUGAAUGAGUAGGACAUAAACUAAAAUGGUUUCAUAAAGAUAUCAAUAUGUAACUCAGAAACCAAGUCCAGAUGGUGUUCCCAAUUCAUCUUAGAAACUGGUCCACACUGAACCCACGCUACCUUGGAUGAAAGGGGAUUAGAACAUGUCUUCUCAUUUCCAGGCAAAUGCAUAUCAAAGGGUUUUUUGGGCAACUUAGACUUAAAGCAAAGACUUGAAAUCUAUUUACAGAGAUCACAGAGGCACACUGAAACUAAGUGUUAAAAUGUGUCUUCAAGGUAAAGAUAAUAAGAAGGGUGUUGCUGUUCUAACCUAUGUUUCCUUACAAAACUCUGUGCUCUGCAAAACCGUUUACUAAAGGAACUAAGUUUACACACAACAUGGUAAAUCAACCCCAUUGCAGUAAAAAUCUGUUUCAAAAAGGAACUGAGUUUGUGUAGAAAUAAGGUUGGCGCAGGCCACACAAAAUGAUGCAAACUUUGUAAUCAGAGUGGUAUCCAAACAAAACUUGGUUGCUGGAACAAUGAACUCAAGGGCUCAGUUAGACAGCUCUCUGGGAGUCUAGAAAAUGCCAUAGCAAACAGAGUGGCAGCAUCUGUGGCAACACUGACAUCAGAGCUGGCAGGGCCAAGGCAGCACAGGUGUGGGGUCUGUGGGCUGCCAUGAAGGUUGUCCCCCAGGCCCUGUUCCUGCCCCCAGCUGAGAGCCACGGGGCUGGGCUUCCCUUCUGGGGGUGGGGCUCCCAGAGGCCCAUGUUGUUGGUUUUCUUAAAGCCACAGUUUAUAAGUUCCUGGUCCUAGUACAGUAAUCAGGCUGUUUUCUUUCUUUCUUUUUUUUUUUUUUCAUUUCCCUCUUAGGGCCGCACCUGCAGCAUAUGGACGUUCCCAGGCUAAAGGUCCAAUCGGAGCUGCAGCUGCUGGCCUAUGCCACAGCCACUCCGGAUCCGAGCCGCAUUUGUGACCUAUGCCACACUGAGCGAGGCCAGGGAUCUAACUCACAUCCUUGCGGACACUAGGUCAGGUUCUGAACCUACUGAGCCACAACAGGAACUCCUCUUUUUCCUUUUCUGCUGAAAGUUAUAAUUCUAUCUCUGUGAUAACACUUGCCCCUUGCCCAUGAACCUGAGCAAUUUCCGGGUCCUGCUAACCUCAUUUCCUGUUGAUCAAUUGCAUGUGAGUUAACUUGCCUUGCAGGUUAUCUCAUGAGACCAGGGUGGUGUUAAGAAACUGAAUACUUUUUCUUUUAGAAAAAUUACAAAGCAACUUGCUGAGAAACAGGUUGCUUUGGACUAUGGGAAACAGAGCUACUGUUUGAAUUAAAGUGGUGGGGAUCUUGGAAGGAAUGAAGAAAUAAGCACAAGAAUGAGAUCGAUGGAGGCAAAAAUCAUAGUAAUCACAGUAGUGAGGCCUCCUGCUUAGACAACAUCUAACACAGUGGGCUCUCCACAUACACAGAAUCGACCAACUGCAGAUCAAAAAUAUUCUGAGAAAGGAAUUUCUGUGGCUCAGCAGGUUAUGGAUCCUGUGUUACGUCAUCUAGAGGGGACUGAUUUAAAAUAAACAAGAAGAUAUGCCUAAAUUACAGGCAAAUAGUGUGUCAUUUUAUAUAAGGGGCUUGAGCAUCCCUGGAGUUUGGUAUCAGUGGAGGGUCCUGAAACCAAUCCCCAGAGAUGCUGAGGGAUGACUAAAGGGAUCUUUCUGGGGAUCUUUGUGGGUCCUAAAAUUAGCAUUUUCCCAAUUUCCUUCUCUCCUGGGGAGGUCAGGGGUGGAGGGAAUACGAAAUGAGUAAAUAAAAUGAAAUAGGACAGGCUGUUGAAGAGGAUUCAGCCUCAGGAUUUGAGCAUCGAGGGAGGAGACGCCUCCCCACCCCCCACCCCUUCAGCUCCAGUUACAGGCCUAGGAACCUGAGGAACAAAGAGACUUUGGGCUUAACAUCCACGGGUCUCUGUUCACUCUUUUUACCCUCAAUCUGUUUCCAGCUGUUUCCAGCUUCAAAAGGAUUAACAGAUUGAGGUCUACUCCAGGAGCUGGAGAGUAGGAGGGUAUUUAUGGCUGAUCCCAAGGCUUAGCCAUGGAAACCUUGACCCCAAGAAACAGGUGGGCGCGGUGCAGAGCAAAGCAGUGGGACAAACCCAAGAAUUCUUGGGGAAAGAAGAAUUAGUUGACCUCAGACAAAGAAGCAGCCCAGGGUACUGCUAUCUGGAGGCUGAGCCCCUACAGCGACACCCGCCCCCCUUCAGGGGCAGCCCCUUCCCCAGGAAUGGCUCACUGUAACCUGGGAGAGGUCCCCGUUUCCAUCAUCCAAGAAGUGGGGGGCAACCGAGGAGCCCAAGAGUCUGUGCUCUUGGAAAAGAAACUCUGAACUCCUCAUGAAAAUGGGCAGGUGUUUUCCAAAGGAAAUUUUAGGGUGUAUAAAGACAAAUCAUGUCACAGUAGGAACAUGCCAGGUACCACUUUUAGCUCCAUAUGGUAAAUGAUGAGGCCACUGGGAAAGAGAAAGAAGGAGGCAACAGGAAAGAUUGGAACUCACAUUUAUCGGAUGUGAUUCUCAAGCCACCAACGUUGACGUUUGGCCGCGCAUCCAGGGUGGGGCUCAGGAAGUUCAUGUUCACUAAACUGGGCGAUGGGAGGCAAGAAGUACCAACCGAGGUCUCAAAUGGGAGACUGGCAUUCAGGAAAUGGGAGCUACCAGAGGGGUGGGGUUUCACGUAGGUAUUUCCCCAGGUGCAUCUCCCAUCCCAAGCAUUGGACUCACCUGGGGUUCUAGUUAACAGGACCAACACCCCAGCUCUUCCCCAGACCUACUAACCCACAACUUCUGGUGGUGAGGCCCAGGAUUCUGCAUUUUAACAACCACUCCCAAAUUUGCCCAUCCUUCUACAUAUUAAUAUCGGAGAACAAGUGGUUUAGGCUUUGUUAUCUGGAAAUCUGGGUGCCUGGCUGAUAAAUGGGAACAAUGAUCCAAUUAGGUCCCAGGACUCUGAAGACUGAACAUCCGUGAACAGACCAUGCAUGGUGUUAUAAAUGACUAGAUCUCAUUGACAGUGUCCCUAUAACACACUUGCUCGUGUGCCGCCUGGUAACUAGGCAUGUCUGUGACUCCGUUUACCCACAUGAUUGCAGUUUAUGUUGUUUUAAAACAUUUCAAGCCAGGGAGUUCCCAUUGUGGCUCAGAGGGUUAAGACUCUGACAUAGGGUCUGUGAGGAUGUGUAUUCUAUCCCUGGCCACUCAGUGGGUUAAAGAUCCAGCACUGCCGUGAGCUGUGGUGUAGGUCACAGACUCAACUUGCAUUUGGCAUUGCUGUGGCUGUGGCUGCAGCUAUGGCUGGCAGCUGCAGCUCCAAUUCAGCACCUAGCCUGGGAACUUCCAUAUGUGCAGGAAUGGCUGUAAAAAGACAAAAAAAAAAAAAAAAUCAGGCCAAGAUUCCUUUUCUUUUCUUUCCUUCCUUCCUUCCUUCCUUCCUUCCUUCCUUCCUUCCUUC